This 74-nucleotide transfer RNA is filed under the name Spirochaetota bacterium. RNAcentral describes it as "Spirochaetes bacterium tRNA-Thr". It matches the Rfam family "tRNA". Rfam says of the family: Transfer RNA (tRNA) molecules are approximately 80 nucleotides in length. Their secondary structure includes four short double-helical elements and three loops (D, anti-codon, and T loops). The record is from RNAcentral. Lineage: Bacteria; Pseudomonadati; Spirochaetota.
GCCGCUAUAGUACAAUGGUAGUACACGCCCUUGGUACGGGUGAGAUGCCAGUUCAAUUCUGGCUAGUGGCUCUA